RNAcentral lists this ribosomal RNA (440 nucleotides) under uncultured bacterium. Its description in RNAcentral is "partial 16S ribosomal RNA". It matches the Rfam family "Bacterial small subunit ribosomal RNA", at positions 338 to 795 of the family's 1533-position model. The record is from RNAcentral.
CCUACGGGAGGCAGCAGUGGGGAAUAUUGCACAAUGGGGGAAACCCUGAUGCAGCGACGCCGCGUGAGUGAAGAAGUAUCUCGGUACGUAAAGCUCUAUCAGCAGGGAAGAAAAUGACGGUACCUGACUAAGAAGCCCCGGCUAACUACGUGCCAGCAGCCGCGGUAAUACGUAGGGGGCAAGCGUUCUCCGGAUUUACUGGGAGUAAAGGGAGCGUAGACGGCAGUACAAGGCUGGAGUGAAAGCCCGGGGCUUAACCCCGGAACUGCUUUGGAAACUGUGCGGCUGGAGUGCAGGAGGGGUAAGUGGAAUUCCUAGUGUAGCGGUGAAAUGCGUAGAUAUUAGGAGGAACACCAGUGGCGAAGGCGGCUUACUGGACUGUAACUGACGUUGAGGCUCGAAAGCGUGGGGAGCAAACAGGAUUAGAUACCCCAGUAGUC